This 1654-nucleotide ribosomal RNA is filed under the name Klebsiella oxytoca. Its description in RNAcentral is "bacterial LSU rRNA". It matches the Rfam family "Bacterial large subunit ribosomal RNA", at positions 1292 to 2925 of the family's 2925-position model. RNAcentral also lists the same sequence under 1 other name. Lineage: Bacteria; Pseudomonadati; Pseudomonadota; Gammaproteobacteria; Enterobacterales; Enterobacteriaceae. The record is from RNAcentral.
GAAUGCUGACAUAAGUAACGAUAAAGCGGGUGAAAAGCCCGCUCGCCGGAAGACCAAGGGUUCCUGUCCAACGUUAAUCGGGGCAGGGUGAGUCGACCCCUAAGGCGAGGCCGAAAGGCGUAGUCGAUGGGAAACAGGUUAAUAUUCCUGUACUUGGUGUUACUGCGAAGGGGGGACGGAGAAGGCUAUGUUAGCCGGGCGACGGUUGUCCCGGUUUAAGCAUGUAGGCUGAUUGUCCAGGCAAAUCCGGAUAAUCAAGGCUGAGGUGUGAUGACGAGGCACUACGGUGCUGAAGUAACAAAUGCCCUGCUUCCAGGAAAAGCCUCUAAGCAUCAGGUAACAUCAAAUCGUACCCCAAACCGACACAGGUGGUCAGGUAGAGAAUACCAAGGCGCUUGAGAGAACUCGGGUGAAGGAACUAGGCAAAAUGGUGCCGUAACUUCGGGAGAAGGCACGCUGGUGUGUAGGUGAAGUCCCUGCGGAUGGAGCUGAGACCAGUCGAAGAUACCAGCUGGCUGCAACUGUUUAUUAAAAACACAGCACUGUGCAAACACGAAAGUGGACGUAUACGGUGUGACGCCUGCCCGGUGCCGGAAGGUUAAUUGAUGGGGUUAUCCGUAAGGAGAAGCUCUUGAUCGAAGCCCCGGUAAACGGCGGCCGUAACUAUAACGGUCCUAAGGUAGCGAAAUUCCUUGUCGGGUAAGUUCCGACCUGCACGAAUGGCGUAAUGAUGGCCAGGCUGUCUCCACCCGAGACUCAGUGAAAUUGAACUCGCUGUGAAGAUGCAGUGUACCCGCGGCAAGACGGAAAGACCCCGUGAACCUUUACUAUAGCUUGACACUGAACAUUGAGCCUUGAUGUGUAGGAUAGGUGGGAGGCUUUGAAGCGUGGACGCCAGUCUGCGUGGAGCCAACCUUGAAAUACCACCCUUUAAUGUUUGAUGUUCUAACGUUGGCCCCUGACCGGGGUUGCGGACAGUGUCUGGUGGGUAGUUUGACUGGGGCGGUCUCCUCCCAAAGCGUAACGGAGGAGCACGAAGGUUAGCUAAUCCUGGUCGGACAUCAGGAGGUUAGUGCAAUGGCAUAAGCUAGCUUGACUGCGAGCGUGACGGCGCGAGCAGGUGCGAAAGCAGGUCAUAGUGAUCCGGUGGUUCUGAAUGGAAGGGCCAUCGCUCAACGGAUAAAAGGUACUCCGGGGAUAACAGGCUGAUACCGCCCAAGAGUUCAUAUCGACGGCGGUGUUUGGCACCUCGAUGUCGGCUCAUCACAUCCUGGGGCUGAAGUAGGUCCCAAGGGUAUGGCUGUUCGCCAUUUAAAGUGGUACGCGAGCUGGGUUUAGAACGUCGUGAGACAGUUCGGUCCCUAUCUGCCGUGGGCGCUGGAGAAUUGAGGGGGGCUGCUCCUAGUACGAGAGGACCGGAGUGGACGCAUCACUGGUGUUCGGGUUGUCAUGCCAAUGGCACUGCCCGGUAGCUAAAUGCGGAAGAGAUAAGUGCUGAAAGCAUCUAAGCACGAAACUUGCCCCGAGAUGAGUUCUCCCUGAGACUUUAAGUCUCCUGAAGGAACGUUAAAGACGAUGACGUUGAUAGGCCGGGUGUGUAAGCGCAGCGAUGCGUUGAGCUAACCGGUACUAAUGAACCGUGAGGCUUAACCUU